Molecule: ribosomal RNA, 566 nt
Filed under: uncultured bacterium
Lineage: Bacteria
Description: bacterial SSU rRNA
Rfam family: Bacterial small subunit ribosomal RNA
Source: RNAcentral
CCGCGCCCGUCCCNNCGCCCCCGCCCGCCUACGGGAGGCAGCAGUGGGGNNUNNUGCGCAAUGGGGGAAACCCUGACGCAGCGAUGCCGCGUGGGUGAAGAAGGCCUUCGGGUUGUAAAGCCCUUUCAGUGGGGAAGAUAGUGACGGUACCCACAGAAGAAGCUCCGGCUAACUCCGUGCCAGCAGCCGCGGUAAUACGGAGGGGGCGAGCGUUGUUCGGAAUUACUGGGCGUAAAGGGCGCGUAGGCUGUUAUGCAAGUCAGGAGUGAAAGGCCCAGGCUCAACCUGGGGACGGCUCUUGAAACUGCAUGACUGGAGUCCGGCAGAGGGUGGUGGAAUUCCCCGUGUAGAGGUGAAAUUCGUAGAUAUGGGGAGGAAGACCGGAGGCGAAGGCGGCCACCUGGACCGGUACUGACGCUGAGGCGCGAAAGCGUGGGGAGCAAACAGGAUUAGAUACCCUGGUAGUCCACGCUGUAAACGAUGAGUGCUAGUUAUCGCGGGUAUCGACCCCUGCGGUAACGGAGCUAACGCGUUAAGCACUCCGCCUGGGGAGUACGGCCGCAAGG